Molecule: long non-coding RNA, 677 nt
Filed under: Homo sapiens (human)
Lineage: Eukaryota; Metazoa; Chordata; Mammalia; Primates; Hominidae
Description: non-protein coding lnc-TMX2-1:1
Source: RNAcentral
GGAGGGAUACAUAUACGGAGGGGGAUCUUACUCUUCCCAUUCCUCAGACCAGCAGGAAAAGAGGGGAGACGUCAGUCUUUUUCCUGUGGUUCCCUCUCAUUUGUCCCAGUUACUAACUACGGAAAUAGCAUCCUCUGCUGGUGCUAAGUGUGAUUAGGAAGAAGCCUGGGGAGAGGUGAGUCUGGAAUUUUGGUCACAAGAGGGAAGGACUUGGAGAGGAGAAUUAGUUUUCUAGGCUCAUUGGCAUUUAGUUUCCCUAGGAAAGGGGUCAAAACUUCAAGACACUGGUGGUGGUGGGAGAUCAGGAAAAUAACUUGGCCUAGCUCAAACAAUAUUGGAUAAUCCCCUCCUUGGGGGAGAGGGAUUAGAGUGUGCUCCUACUGGCCCCUUGGAGCCUCCCCUAGCUUACACAGUUAACUUGAUUUUAAAAUCCAAGGCCAGGAGAGAAGAAUCCAAAAAGCAAUAUUUUUCAUCACAUGCCAAAAACGGGGGAUAGAGAGAAGGAGUGGCAGGCCUAGGCCCCUCCGAUUGUCCCUUGGGGGUUACCCCUCAGCCCACCUCACUAUGGUGCUGGGUAGAGGGGAUACCUGGGUUCUAACCUCUAAAUAGGGGAGAUCCCAGCCUCCACAAAGAGGCCCUUUUAUUUUUUAUUCUGAUUAGCCAUUUUAAACCAACGA